CAGCCGCCACGGUAACACGUAGGGUGCGAGCGUUAAUCGGAAUUACUGGGCGUAAAGCGUGCGCAGGCGGUUAUGUAAGACAGUUGUGAAAUCCCCGGGCUCAACCUGGGAACUGCAUCUGUGACUGCAUAGCUAGAGUACGGUAGAGGGGGAUGGAAUUCCGCGUGUAGCAGUGAAAUGCGUAGAUAUGCGGAGGAACACCGAUGGCGAAGGCAAUCCCCUGGACCUGUACUGACGCUCAUGCACGAAAGCGUGGGGAGCAAACAGGAUUAGAGACCCGAGUAGUCCCUGUCUCUUAUAC
This 301-nucleotide ribosomal RNA is filed under the name uncultured bacterium. Its description in RNAcentral is "partial 16S ribosomal RNA". It matches the Rfam family "Bacterial small subunit ribosomal RNA", at positions 509 to 807 of the family's 1533-position model. The record is from RNAcentral.